CCUACGGGUGGCUGCAGUGAGGAAUAUUGGUCAAUGGCCGGAAGGCUGAACCAGCCAAGCCGCGUGAGGGAGGAAGCCCCAUAGCGUCGCAGACCUCUUUUGCCGGGGGACAAAAGGCCGGCCUCGUCCGGUCCUGAGGGUACCCGGAGAAAAAGCAUCGGCUAACUCCGUGCCGGCAGCCGCGGUAAUCCGGGGGAUGCGAGCGUUAUCCGGUUUCAUUGGGUUUAAAGGGGGCGCAGGCGGGCGUUUAAGCCGGCGGUAAAAUCGCGGGGCUCAACCGCGCCGAGCCGUCGGAACUGGGGGGCUUGAGUGCGGAGGAGGCAGGCGGAAUGCGCGGUGUAGCGGUGAAAUGCAUAGAUAUCGCGCAGAACCCCGAUUGCGAAGGCAGCGUGCCGUGCCGCGACUGACGCUGAGGCACGAAAGCGCGGGGAUCGAACAGGAUUAGAUACCCUAGUAGUC
Molecule: ribosomal RNA, 459 nt
Filed under: uncultured bacterium
Lineage: Bacteria
Description: partial 16S ribosomal RNA
Rfam family: Bacterial small subunit ribosomal RNA
Source: RNAcentral